Long non-coding RNA from Numida meleagris (helmeted guineafowl), 849 nucleotides. RefSeq lists it as uncharacterized. NCBI's taxonomy places the organism in Eukaryota, Metazoa, Chordata, Aves, Galliformes, Numididae. The transcript is spliced from 3 exons. The record is from RefSeq and is a predicted model, not a curated record.
CUGUGACUAAUGUCAGCUGACCAGAUCUCCUCCUCCAAAGCAGGGAAAUCUUUGAACAGAAUUGAUCAUUGAAAAGCUCAGACUCAUAAAAGCGAUUUCCAAGUGGUGCUGGGACAGAAGUGCAGAAGUGUGGCCACUCUGUGUGGUUUGGGCAGUGUGUCAGAAGUCUGGAACUUCUGAAGCUGAAAUGCACAAAGAGAAAGAGAAGAUGAGACUAGAUGACGGUCAGUAGAACUUUUAGAACAGUAGUAAAACCAGGACUGUAAAUCAGUGUUUUCCCAUUCUUAUUCCUGUCUUCGCUCCAGUAUGAGUGCUGCUCCACGAGAGAAUUACUGUCCUCAUAAAAUUCCAGCUCAGGUUUGAAAAUCCAGGUGUCCCGGAUAAGCAUAAAAUUUUGUGUGCUCCCUUCUAAGAGAAAGUUCAAAAGACUUAGAUUUUUUGUGUAAUUUGGAUAAGCAACUAGAAUUUCAUGCUUAUCCAAAUAGUGCUAAACCUCUUAGUCUUUGAACUUUCCCUUAGAAGGGAGCAUCAGAAGAAAAUUAAACGAGAGGAGUGUGUAGAAGGGUUCAAGCAAAGAGGAAAUACAGAAAAAGAGAAGGGAUAUCUGUGUGUGUGUGUGAAUUUGGAAGCACAUUUUGCAGUGAUACGGAAGAUCUACUUUGAAUGUAUCAAAAGAGAAAAUGUUCAUGGAAAUACUGCACAUGUAGUUCAGCAUUGUGCAGGAGCAAGCCUUCAGGUCCAAACUUUCAAAAUGGCUGAGACUGUAUUCAAGCAUUUGAGUAUAGUUGGUAAGUUUAUUAAAGUCUUUGAAAAUCAGUCCAUGCGCAGUACAAUAGAUUGGGGCUAGAC